This 99-nucleotide microRNA precursor is filed under the name Hordeum vulgare subsp. vulgare (domesticated barley). RNAcentral describes it as "MIR398 microRNA precursor family". It matches the Rfam family "MIR398 microRNA precursor family". The record is from Rfam by way of RNAcentral. Lineage: Eukaryota; Viridiplantae; Streptophyta; Magnoliopsida; Poales; Poaceae.
GAAGUUCCUGCGGGGUCGAACUGGGAACACACGAGACGACGAGCUCCUCUCCUCGAUUCCACAGCUCGUGUGUUCUCAGGUCGCCCCCGCUGGAGCCUC